This is a long non-coding RNA of Cannabis sativa, 687 nucleotides long. RefSeq lists it as uncharacterized. Lineage: Eukaryota; Viridiplantae; Streptophyta; Magnoliopsida; Rosales; Cannabaceae. The record is from RefSeq and is a predicted model, not a curated record. The transcript is spliced from 3 exons.
ACAACCGGGUAUUUCGGGCCGAACUGGGUUCGAGCUCGAAAUACAAUUGAAUUGAAUUAAUUGGCAUUUUAAUUGAUAUUUGAUAAUCUGAAAUUUAAUUGGGUUUGAAAUUGUGUGUUAAUGCCAUUUUUGCCCUUGUAUGUUUAAAGUGGAAGUUAUAUGGCCCUAAGGGCAUUUUAGUAAUUUGGCUUGAUGAGAUAAGUGUGUGAAAUGGCAUUUUUGACAAAAAAAGAAAAUAGAAAUUCUGGUUAUUCUCUCUCAAACCUGAACCUCUCUUUCUCUCUCUUACUCUCUUGUUUUUCAACUUGAUUUGGUGAGAAAUUGAUGAGAAACUAGUUUGAUUGUUGGGGAAAAUUUUGUGUUAAGGCUUGGAGUUAGCUUGUGCAAGGAAUUGAGGAUUACCGGCACCUGAUCAGGAGCACCCAGGGGUUUGGAAUCUCUGUUAUUGCAGGACAACAGGAAAGGGUAAGGCAUUAGCUGAUGAGCCAUGAGUUCUGGAGCUGGGCGAAGAAUGUACAUGUCCGGGCCAUUUCAGACCAAGCGGGUUAUGGGUCUAUCAGUGUUGAACUUUUGAAUUCUGUUUUGCCGCUUAGGUCGGCUAGAAAGAAAAGACUUGUAAUAAGUUUGUAAUUAUUUUUGGGAUCCCAACUAUUUUGAAAGUUUAAAUAUAUUACAAGUUUAUUUUCA